GGGACCGUCGUGUAGGGGUAAGCGUGGUUGUCUCUCACCCAGUCGGCUUGGGUUAAACCCCAGACGGUUCCG
RNAcentral lists this transfer RNA (72 nucleotides) under Culex quinquefasciatus (southern house mosquito). RNAcentral describes it as "tRNA-Glu". The record is from RNAcentral. Lineage: Eukaryota; Metazoa; Arthropoda; Insecta; Diptera; Culicidae.